RNAcentral lists this ribosomal RNA (478 nucleotides) under uncultured bacterium. RNAcentral describes it as "partial 16S ribosomal RNA". It matches the Rfam family "Bacterial small subunit ribosomal RNA", at positions 28 to 507 of the family's 1533-position model. The record is from RNAcentral.
GACGAACGCUGGUGGCGUGCUUAACACAUGCAAGUCGAACGGGAUUUAGUAAACAGAAGCCUCGGUGGAAGAUUACUAAUGAGAGUGGCGAACGGGUGAGUAACGCGUGAGCAACCUGCCUAUGACAGUGGGAUAGCCUCGGGAAACCGGGAUUAAUACCGCAUAAAAUCGUAGAAACACAUGUUUUAACGGUCAAAGAUUUAUCGGUCAUAGAUGGGCUCGCGUCUGAUUAGCUAGUUGGUGAGAUAACAGCCCACCAAGGCGACGAUCAGUAGCCGGUCUGAGAGGAUGAACGGCCACAUUGGAACUGAGACACGGUCCAAACUCCUACGGGAGGCAGCAGUGGGGAAUAUUGCACAAUGGGGGAAACCCUGAUGCAGCGACGCCGCGUGAACGAAGAAGGUAUUCGUAUCGUAAAGUUCUGUCCUAUGGGAAGAUAAUAACAGUACCAUAGAAGAAAGCUCCGGCUAAAUACGUG